GUGAAUCAUCGAAUCUUUGAACGCACAUUGCGCCCUUCGGUAUUCCGUUGGGCAUGCCUGUUCGAGCGUCAUUUAACCCUUCAAGCUAUGCUUGGUGUUGGGCGUUUGUUCCGCCUCCGCGCGUGGACUCGCCUCAAAUUCAUUGGCAGCCGGUAAGUUGGCUUCGUGCGCAGCACAUUGCGUUUACGAUUCUAGCUUGCCUCCUUCCAGGAAAGCAUCUUUUAUUACUUUGACCUCGGAUCAGGUAGGGAUACCCGCUGAACUUAAGCAUAUCAAUAAGCGGAGGA
Molecule: unclassified non-coding RNA, 287 nt
Filed under: Pleosporales sp.
Lineage: Eukaryota; Fungi; Ascomycota; Dothideomycetes; Pleosporales
Description: partial contains 5.8S ribosomal RNA, internal transcribed spacer 2, and large subunit ribosomal RNA
Rfam family: 5.8S ribosomal RNA (bases 1-71)
Source: RNAcentral